This 468-nucleotide ribosomal RNA is filed under the name uncultured bacterium. RNAcentral's name for it is "partial 16S ribosomal RNA". It matches the Rfam family "Bacterial small subunit ribosomal RNA", at positions 28 to 507 of the family's 1533-position model. The record is from RNAcentral.
GACGAACGCUGGCGGCGUGCUUAACACAUGCAAGUCGAACGGAAAGGCCCUGCUUUUGUGGGGUGCUCGAGUGGCGAACGGGUGAGUAACACGUGAGUAACCUGCCCUUGACGUUGGGAUAACUUCAGGAAACUGGGGCUAAUACCGGAUAGGAGCGCCUGCUGCAUGGUGGGGGUUGGAAAGCUUCGGCGGAUGGGGAUGGACUCGCGGCUUAUCAGCUUGUUGGUGGGGUAGUGGCUUACCAAGGCAUUGACGGGUAGCCGGCCUGAGAGGGUGACCGGCCACAUUGGGACUGAGAUACGGCCCAGACUCCUACGGGAGGCAGCAGUGGGGAAUAUUGCACAAUGGGCGGAAGCCUGAUGCAGCAACGCCGCGUGCGGGAUGACGGCCUUCGGGUUGUAAACCGCUUUCGCCUGUGACGAAGCGUGAGUGACGGUAAUGGGUAAAGAAGCACCGGCUAACUACGUG